UUCGUGUUAAGUUUUAGUUACUGAUCGUAUAUUAGUGUGUUCUCGCAAACGUAGUCGAAGCAACAUAUCGUUACAAUAUCAAGGCGAUCUAAGUUCGAUUGCUUGAUGUUCUUUGCUAUUUUGCAUCUGAUUUCUACCAUUAUCAGGUCUGGUGUCUCGUCCACGCUGAUAGAUUUAACGGAGAUGGAGUCCUCGGACGUGAGAUUGGUCGUAGACACCGCUUGUGAACCGUAGCCGCUGCUGCUCAUGCUUGGCGUGUUGAUCUUCGUCGAUUGAAGUUCGACAAGAGAAUCCAGUGCUUGUCACGCGUGAUCGAUCAUGCCUGUAGGCUAGAAGACACUUGAUACAAUCAGGCAAACCAGAUCAGCGUACGAUGUACACCUUUUGCGUCUCAUAUCGAAGAUAUUCGUGUCGACAGCAGUUAUUACAGCCGCGUACAAAUAUUUGUAAAAUUUAGUAGAAAAUAUUGCAGAGGUACAAUUUCAAAUCGUUUCUUCGUUGCUUUCUCAUUUUGAGAUUCUUUGUACACGUGAAACGAUUUAACUCGCCAUUCUUUAACCAAUCCAAAAUGCACCGAUACGUCGAUUAAAACUCGAAAUAUAUUUUUCCUGAUCUUAUUCGAGAAAAUAUUUGUUAGGAAUCUUCUAAAAUUCAAAGUUAUUUCGUACGAUUAGAAAUCUCAAUUUAUCCAGAGGAAACUGACGUAGAAAUAUCAUUAACGAAGAGAUCUGAUCGUAAUUUAUGAUCUCAUAUGCAUCGUGGAUUUGUCAUAAAGUAUGCUAACGAUAGCAUUUUAUUAGUUUAAAGUCAAAAGUGGUAUUGAUCUCGAGCUCUUCUCAAUGCGGUAUCUUCCUUGGAUUUUUACUGUACAGUCGAUAGCAUUAAAUAUGUAGACUCUAUCCUCCCGCAAAGCAUGCUUCACUAUGGCCGAAACAAUAAUCUCAUGCAGUACUAAAUUACUCUUAAUUUUGCCCCCUACACCAUUCUCAACUUGUCUGCUUGUAUUUCUUCGCUUCGUUCGACUUUAAACUAAUUCUUCCUGCGGAUAAAGAAAAUGGGUCUUUCGUCAUAAAGAAUAGUUGGCUAAAUUCUUCUUCCGAAUACGAAUAAAUAUUUAUUCCCUUCUUUGAGAUAUAUCUUCCCAUUUUCUUAGUUACUUGUAAGUUUCUUCCUUCUUCUUCGCUUCAAUGAAAAACAAUUUAGUUGCUUUAAUUAAUUAAGACCAACAAUAUCGUUUAAUUAAGGAAAUAUUCAUAAUACAAAAAAAAAGAAAGAUCCUGAAUUGUUUUUCAGAAGCACGUCCACCUAAAUCAUUAAUCAAUAAAUAUUUAUAUAUAUAUAUAUAUAUGUACACAUAUAUGAUACAGUUACCCUACGUCUGUUUCUAAAAUAUCGCUUAAUAGCACAUUCACAGGUAGAGACAGUAAAAGUAGAACAACUUUACAAGCCAUCUUAUUCGUCUUUCUUAAUUUGUUCUUUUUUUACUCUUCGACUAUAAUUCGAUCAUGAUAGAAAAAAGAAAAACAUCUUAUGCACGCUGGUUCACUCUUAAAUUCAGUCUUAAAACAUAGAUACCAAUAUCGAUAACUCGUCGAACGUUACGAAUUUUGUUUCUUAUCUCAAACUUCGACGAGUCGUCGAUAAAAAGAAGAAAAAGAUUUCAAAAAAAAAAAAAAAAAGUAAGAAAAAAGAAAAAGAUAAGAAAAACAGAACUAUAGAAAUCGUUUCUAUUCUAGUAAAAAACUUUUGCGAAAGAAUUGUUCAAAUACCCAUGCUUUUCGACUGCGAUUCGUGAUAUAGUAUAGUAUAGAUUAUAGAUAAUCAUAGUCGUGAUAUACAGUGCUAGUGAACAUGAUUUCUACGCAUGGUGAUCUCUGAUAGAUACUGCGAUAGACACGAGAGAAGAUCGUUCUUUCAUCUUGCGUUUGCAAUGCGUUGACGUGACUUUCGUUAAGCGUCGAUCAUGAUCAGCAACGCAGACAAAUCAUCGUGUAAAAGAUGUGAGCCAAAGAGAAACAGUCCGCAUGAACAUAGACGAGCCGAUAUAUGCUUGCUUAGAGGCACACAAGGAAACGCAUUCGGCAUGCAACAGUAAAAUCGUGAAACUAAAACAGCAUUUGCUCUCGUUGCAAUGAAACAGCGUUCGACACAUAGACACAUAGACAGAGAAGGCAUCAGCAAUUUUCAGAACUAGAGUUUAGAUCAUUUGAAGCGAAAUAUUCGUAAUACGAUUUUUAUUGAAAAUCACAACGUGAGUUCACGCUCGCCAUCUAUAUGCAGAUGCGCUAGUUACAAUAAAUAGUAACUAGACCAUAGUUCUAGAUACAAUCGAUAGAUUUAAUCGAUAGGUUUAAGAUGUUCUUUUGUUUUUAUCCCUAGUCCAUGUAUAUUACAAUACACAUAAUUUGAUUUUGAUGCUAUGAUAAUAAGAGCUUGAAACAAAUAGAAAAUCAUGAAAAUCUUGUAUUUUCUUUGAUGAUAUGAAUCAUUUCUGGUUCUGAACAUUGCUAGGAUCACAAAAAAAAAAAAAAAAAAAAAAAUAGAAGUGCAGCACCAUCGACACACUAUAUACACAUAUAUAUAUAUUUAAGGCGCACUGGAAGAAC
Long non-coding RNA from Bombus huntii, 2606 nucleotides. RefSeq lists it as uncharacterized. The transcript has 3 exons. Lineage: Eukaryota; Metazoa; Arthropoda; Insecta; Hymenoptera; Apidae. The record is from RefSeq and is a predicted model, not a curated record.